Vicia villosa (hairy vetch) is the source of this 17575-nucleotide long non-coding RNA. RefSeq lists it as uncharacterized. NCBI's taxonomy places the organism in Eukaryota, Viridiplantae, Streptophyta, Magnoliopsida, Fabales, Fabaceae. The record is from RefSeq and is a predicted model, not a curated record. The transcript is spliced from 3 exons.
UUUUACAUUCUAAAGUGAUCAAACAAUUUGGUAUUUUUGCCUUGCCAACAAGAAAAAAAUAUGUCUAAAGUUCUUAGUUUUGUUUAUAUUAUAAUUAAUUUUCUUUUCUUAACCAUAGAAGGUUCAACUUACGUUGGAUUAGAUUUGUGCAGUUCUGAUAAAGAUUGUUCUGCUACUAAGUGUGUUUUUGCUGAAGUUGCAAAAUGCAUAAAGCACAUUUGUAAAUGUGGAAAAUAUUAAUGGUACCUUUAACAUGUAGCUUUUAAAAAAUAAAUUCUCCAUCCGUUUCACAAUAGGUGUUCUCUUUGAAAUUUUCACACAUUUUAAGAAAAUAAUUAAUUAUAUUGAUUUCAAUGCUAAAAUGAGUCUCAUUUACUAAAAUAACCUUAUUAAUAAUAGGUAGUGGAGUACUUAAAUGAAUUAAAUUACAAUAAAUAAGAGUAAGUUAGUGGAAAUAAAUAAUAAAUAUCACAUUGGUAUUCUAAAUGGACAAAUAAUUUUAGACAAAUAAAAAUAAGAAAGAGGACACCUAUUGUGAGAUGGAGGGAGUAAAUAAAUGUUAUUACUUUUAUCUUUUCUCUCAGACUUCAACCGUGUUUGUUGUCCCUUUAAAUUUAUACUUUCCUUUUGAAUUCUUUGCUUCUUCCUAUGGUAUAUUUUGUGUAACUUACAACGUUCUCUCUUAAAUCACGAUUAUUUUACAAAAUAGUUAAGAAGGAUUUCUUUGUCAAGUAACCUUCUUUAUUAUUGUCAAUACAAAAUGGCAUUGACAAAAUCACAAGAAGGCUUAUUGCAUGAAAAAAUAUCUCAUAUCACAACUCAAUAUGCCAUAUUUUUCUAAAAAGCAUAAACAAUCCCACAAUCCUAUUUUGUUUAUGGUAAGGAAAUAUAUUGUUUGAAAUUAUGGUUGGGGAAUUCUAAGGUGUCACACACAAUGUUGCAAUAAUGUGUAUGACAAGAUUAGUACCUAAUCUAUAAAAAUAACAAUAAGUAAAAAUGAUACAAGAAAUUGUUAAUCCAAUUCGAUGCAAAGUCACCUAUGUUUAGAGAGCGUUAACCAAAAAAAAGAAAAUUCAAUCUUAUUAGUCAAAAGUACAAAUUUGUCUUAAUUAAACCACCUUAUUUCAAUGCACAUUUUUCUAGUACUACCCAUUAAUUUCUAUUCACGGCCCUCCCUGAAUAUGAGACCCCUCUCAAUUUCUUUCAAACACUCUCCCUAGUGUUUGGACAGUUACAAUAGCUUAUGAAUGAUGGAACAAGUUUCAACUCAAGAUAAUAUAUUCCUCAAUAUAGGAAUAUGACUUAUGAAUGGAGUAUAACAACACAAAACUAAAACAAAACAAAAUACUCAACAUAACUAAACAAGCCUUGCUUGAUUCUUAAGAUUUGAGUCUUUUACAAUGAAGAGUUCCUCUUUGAUAGUAAGUGAGCUCAGCUGCAAAGCCUAUUAGGGUUUCUACUUUCAAAUGGAGUUGAAUAAAUUCCACAAGCGCAUGAAAUUAAUCUUCAUUAAGUUAAUUUGUAAUAUUUAAUUUGAUAAAUCUUCAUCAUAUCAUAUUUGCUCUUUUAAAUCUUGAUGAAUGAAAUUUUAGGGAAACUUCAAUAUUCUAAAAAGCGCAUAAAAAUUCAUACAAGUUUAGAAAAUUAUGGAUUGAAUUUUGACUUGGAUUGAAUUUUUCCACGAUUCUACUGAAUCUUUAUUAAAACCUACAAAAAAAAAAUAUAAACACUUUAAGUUUUAAAGUACUUUAAAAUAAAAGAAAUUGUUAUUAAAAACAUGCUAUGAUGGAUUGUCAUUACAACCCGAAACUUGAGCAUUUUCUUGUCCUUGAGAAAAAAGCUUGAAAAUUAAGAUUUUUAUGAAAACAUGAGAAAUUGUUUAUUUCAAUGAUUAUUUCUUAGUUGACGCUACUUAGCAGAAUAAUUCCAUUCUCUUUCGGAAGUUCUAUUUUUAUUCUCAUACCUUGAGACGAGUAAUUCAAAACACUUCAAUCAUAAUCAUCUCUCUUCAAAAUUUUCUAUCUUCUCACCAUUUCACCCGAAUGACGAGUUUACGAUAAACAUGAAUUCUUUAUAAUUACUAUAUCAAACAUUUGUUAAUACACUAUAUUUUGAGGUCUUAAGGGUUGUAACACAACUUUAAUUAGGUUUGGAUAAAUUUGGGAAACGUGGACUAACUCAUAGAGUUAGGCACUAAAUUCCUUCAUUUAUCCAUUUUUAAGAGGUUUUUGUUUAUUUUUCCGUAAUCAACACAUUUAGGGGUAGGUCCUAAGUUAUUUUAAAGUUUUUCAAAUAUUUUUGGUACCCGUUCUUUUUUUAAUAUUUUUUAAUUCUCUUUGUUUUAUUUUUCUUUCUUGUUUUUUUCUUCUGAAUGGUACCUAUUUUUCCGAUAUUUUUCAUAGUCUCUUUUAUGAAGUUUAAUCUUAACACCACCACCCAAAACUUUAAAUGUUGUUAUUCCAGAGAAACCCGAACCUAAUUGUAUGCUAUACUAAAUGUUUUUCUUUCUUAUAUAUUGAUCUUACCGAGCGGGUCAGGUGGCCAGCAACAAUGAAGGCUUGAAGUUCGGGAUGAUGGAUGUGAGAAAAAGGGGGUUGUACCUGCAAGGCACUCCGAUACCAAAAGUCAAUGGAUCGUGCUCGUCAUGACCGGAUGCUUAGGCAGGCCAGCAAGUUAAAAGGGGUUGUUAAGAAGAGCGUUGGUCUUAGACUGGUUGUUGCGCAAAGAUCCCCGGUAGGAGGCUUGGGUGUCUCCUCCUCUGGUGCUGCUACCGCUGCUGGUUCCCCCCUGAGGAACUCUGAUCAGGACGAGUCUUUGAGGCCAGUUACGGUGAUUCCUUCUCCCCUUCGCCCACAGCCCGAUCCGGACGCCUUGGUUCGCCGCAAGCGCCAGAGAACCGAAGUCGUGGACCUUACUCAGAAGGAGGCUGCUGAUAUCUUCACCCUCCCUUCGUACUUUCUUCAGCCCAUAUUCUUCGAAGGUGGACCCUCCUUGACUAUUCCACGUGCUGAAUCUCUGCACAUUGAGGGUUUGGAGCCUUCUGUUCGUCAAAGGUUCCUUGUGCAGGACGCUUCGGCCAUGGUUCGGCUUCUGGAGAUGGCCACUCUCUAUGCUCGCUCGACGCCUUUGUCAGCGGAAGUAGUGAGGUUGCUUCAGGAGCAGGUCAAGAUGAAGGCCUCUGCCUUGGAGGAGAACGACCAGCUGCUGAAGGAGUAGGGCGAGGAACUGGACGCUGUGAAGGCUCGGCUGAACGAAAAGGAGGCUGCUCUGGUGGACGUGCAAGGUCGAUACACCUUGCUCUCCAGAACUCUGUAUGGAACAAUGAUGUCUUCUUCGGUUAGGGAGGCCUCUCUUCGCCGUUCUCAGGAUCCUGCUGAGGAUGAGUCGGAAGAGGAGAAGGCUCUUUUAACCCGGGCAGACUUGAUUCAAUAUAUCAGAGUCUUGGGGAGUGACUGUGUGGCGGCUGCCGAGGAUCGUAUCACUCCACUGUGGCCCAGCUCAAAUUGAAGAAUCCGGGGGUGGAGUUGGUGAUCGAAGGUACUGGGCCUUACCAUCGUGUGGAGGGCGACCAGAUUGUUUCUCCGGCCUUUGGGGAGGAGCUCGUGACGGAGGAAGCCGAGGAGGUCCAAGUCUAGGAAGGUGUUUGAAGAUUUUCUUUUUAUGUGUUUUGAAUGUUUGGGCCUGCGUGCCUUGAUUUUGUAAGUGUUAUGCUGGGGGGUAUGCCCCCCAUUCUUAAUUUGUAAGUAUUCUCACCAGCUCGGUCUUAACGGCCGUAGUUGGGCACUUCAUCGGGCUUUUGCCCGUAAUUAUUUAAGUAUUAACGGUUUUUGCUAUUUCCUUGGAAUCUGUGUGCAUGCAUAGUGAUUUUUUGGAAAGAGUGUUAUCGUUUUCCAAUGUCUUUAUUUAUUGAAGGCAUAUUCGUUUCCCAAGAUUAUCGUUCCCCUUCUUCCCUUAUAAAAGGAGGUCUCGCGGACCUCUUCUUUCUUCAUUUUUCGCAGGAAUGGGAGGAGCUAAGGAAAAGCAGGUGUCUUCAAUGUCGCGUUCUAGCGGGGCGAAGAAGACGAAGGAUAAGAAGACUUCAAGUAGUUCUGCUACCCGUUCUCGAGGCUCUGCGAAUUCGGAUGCUCGUGCCCGGUUGACGGGGGUAAGAGGCGUGGUUGAGACAGGUUGUUCCGAGACUGAAUGGGAUGAAGAUUGGUACCAGUACCUUCAUUCAGAGGAGUUUGCUCGUCAGAGGGAGUGAAGCGUUUCCCUUUUAUUCGAUAUCUGUUUUGUAAUUUGUAUGAAUGAUAAGUAAAGUAAUCUUGUUGUGUUUUACGGUUUAUUUUGCAUUUUCGGGAGUUUUUUGCUCAACUAUACUGUGUUGAUCGCCAAGUGUGUGGAACUGUGGUCGAUUACCGGGGACAUGUGCCUGGCAUAUGGUGAGUCUUGGAUUUUGUUGUAUUGAGCUCCGGGGCUCGUGGCAUGAACGGUCCCUUCGCGAGCGGGGCGUUCUGCCAUCAUGGUACAUGUUUAUGAUGGGGAUACUCUGUAUUUAGGGCUCCUCGAAGAACAAAGAGUCUGCUCGAUAAAAAGAGCGGGCUCCCGUUGUUUUGUUUCAUUCAGAGGCGUUUGGCUCGUACCAGGCCGCACCUUUAUUUUAGCUGUAGUAUCAUUUGAGUUUCUCAGUGUUCCAGGGUCGAGCGAGUUCUUCUCCUUGCAAGUUCUCCAGGUAGUAUGCCCCAUUUUGUGUCCUUGCUCGGACACGAUAGGGGCCUUCCCAAUUCGCGGCCAGUAUGCCUUCUCGGGAAUCUUUGUGGUUUCUUUUUAGCACUAGGCUGUCUACUUUAAAUUCCCGUUUAAUGACCUUCGCGUCAUGUCUUAGGGCGAUUUUUUGCUUGAGUGAAGCUUCGCGUAGAGCGGCCCCGGUGCGAAUUUCCUCGACCAGGUCGAGCUCUUCCCUGAUUGCCUCGAUGUUGCCCUUUGUCUCGAGUGGCUCUUCGAUGCGUCUCGAAGGCACAUGUAUUUCGACGGGGAUCAUGACCUCCGUUCCGUACAUGAGUCGGAAGGGGGUCUCUCCGGUAGUGGAAUGUGGGAUGGUGCGAUAGGCCCACAGGACGCUGUGCAGCUUUUCUACCCAUCCCCUUUUUAUCUCGUCUAGUCUUCUUUUGAGGGCCCUCAAAAUUACUCUGUUAGCAACCUCUGCUUUCCCGUCCGUUUGUGGGUGUUCGACUGACGCGAAAUGUUGCUUCGUUCCUAAUUUCAUGACGAACUCUUGGAAGCGCCCGUCUGUGAACUAGGUGCCGUUGUCGGUGAUGAUAGCCAAUGGUACCCCGAACCGGGCGAGGAUGUUUCUUUUGUAGAAGCGGAGUACGUUCAAGGAUGUGAUUUUGGCCAAUGGCUCGGCCUCGAUCCACUUGAUGAAAUAGUCGACCGCAACUAUUAGGUACUUGUUCUGAUUGCUUCCGGUCACGAAUGGACCGAGGAGAUCCAUCCCUCACCAUGCGAAUGGCCAGUGAGAUGAUAAGGACUUGAGUUCGUUGGAGGGUGCGAGGUGCAUGUCCCCGAAAUGUUGGCAUUUGUCGCAUUUCUCCACGUAUUCUUUGGCGUCGUCUUGUAUCGUCGGCCAAUAGUAGCCUGCUCGGAGGGCUUUCCGAGCAAGUGAUCUUCCUCCUAGAUGUUGGGAAUUGAUUCCUUCGUGUAUCUCUCGGAGUAUGUGGGGAACUGUGCCCUCGUCUAUACAUUUGAGGAGGGGUAUGGAAAAUCCUCUCCAGUAGAGGCGAUUUUCGACUAAGACGUACGAGCAGGCUCUCCUUCGGAUGGUGGAGGCCUCUUUUGGAUCAGCGGGCAAGAGGUCACUUGCUAGGUAAUUGUAUACGGGGGUCAUCCAACAGGACGCGUCCCCAAUUGCGCUUACGAGUGAGAGUGAAGAUGAGGUCUCGGUACUGGUGUAGCGGGGAAAAUCUGAUAUCGAAGCCAUAGGAUGACUAGAAUCAAUAUUUCAGUGAAAGUCGCCACCGCGCUUUAUUGUUUCCAAAGGAAAAGGGAAAAGAACGAAAAAAAACCCAAAGUUUGUUUUUUUUUAAAACAAAAAGAAGAGAUCUUAGGUACGGGUGUUGCUUAUAUGAGGGGAAGGUUUUAAGCACCCCUCAUAUCUGUGGUACUCCACAGGAACCUUUUUGAAAAUCUGUGUGUGUGUGUGCUAAAAACGGUUUGUUUUAUUUUUAAAAUAAGCUCGGCAAAGCGUUAAGCUUUGUGCCUACAUACCUCCUCGGUGCAAUGGAGAAGUCAGAGCUAAUGUAGUUCCACUUUUGGGAAAACGUUUUUAAAAACGAAUAAACACUUUAUCGUCGUCGGAGAGAAAUACUCAGCCAUUGAUCUUGAGCAUGAGAACAAACGAGUUCUUUGCAUCGCAAAUGAAAGAAGGGCUCCAACUCGGAUAAAAUCGACGAGUAUGCCACUAGCUCUCUCACGCGGAAAAGAUCUCAUUAUAUCAAUCAAUUUCAAAAUCGUGGGGUAUAACCACUCGUUUCGACAAUUAACGGUGUCUAAACUUUUGAAGAAAAGCCACUAAGGGCGAAAGAUAUUUUUUGAGAAAAAGGUUUUGAAAAGGUUGCAAACAUAAGAAUGUUUUGGAAAAAGGGAGAAGAUUUUGAAAAUUAAAGAAGGGGAGGAGAUGAAGAGGCUAUCCUAUUGCGUAAAAUAAAAGCUAAGGAAAGAAACGGUCUAACCGAAGAAGAAGCCAACACUCGACAUUAAGAGCCAAGGUAGAUUUCCCAUCCUUUGGAAUUAUCAAUACCAACACAUUAACACUUGGGGGAUCCAGAUGAACUUAUUGUCUUAGCACAACUUUGUAUUAAGCACAUUAAAAUUCUGACAAAAAUCGGGCAGAGUAACGGCUGUUUUCGGGUAAAAUCCUUAUCUCAAUGCCUUGGAAUUAACCAUCAAGGGCUUUCAAGGAAAUACCUGCACAUACAAACAGACAACAAUCCAAUGCCAGACAGACAGAAUAACAGCAGAGUAAUAACAGAAUAAGAGUCCAGAGGUCCUAAGUCCAUAAGUCCGAGUCUCCAGAAUGCUAGGGAUAGUAACCAAUAGUCCAAAAGAGAGCCUUAUGUGUUUUUUAGAUUUUGGUUGUUUAUUAGUGUUUUAGCCUAAAAGUAAAGUAUGGUCCAAGUGGACAAAAGAAAAAUAGCGGAAGCAUAAACAUAUGUCCAAAUGGACAAAGAGAAAAUAGCGGAAUUAUAAACGUCCAAAUGGACAAAGAGAAAAUGGCGGAAUGUAAAUAUGAUGAAAUGAUAAAAUAAAGCGAUAAAGCGAGAAAUAUAAAGAGCGGUAUAAUAAAUGGCGGAAAUUAAAGUUAGUUGUUAGAUGUUAAAGAUAACCAUCUUGAAACUUGUCAAGUAUGUUAUCAAAGUUAGUAAUGAAGAUCGAUGGUGAGUGAAUGAUGUACUCGAAUUUAAGGUCAAUGGAAACUUAUCAGAAGCUUGAUAAAAUCAUAGCGACUACACGAUAAAUUUCCAUAAGUCAUAAAUCAACCGCAUAUAAUUCUUUUCUAUAUUUGAUCUUUUAUCGAGUCGGGACAAAUGUAGGAGAAUUCUCCAUGUAUCAAGAUCAUCAAUCAAAAGAAAUAAGAAGGAGAAGAAGAAAUGAUCUAGCCUUUAUCAAGAAUCCAUAGAAUUCUCAAGAUAUCAAGACUUUCAUCGAUCAAGAGAAAAUAAGAUGAAAAAAAAUAAGAAUGAAAACAAAUUGAUCUAGUCUUUAUCAAGAAUCCAUAGAAUUCUCAAGAUAUUAAGACUUUCAUCGAUCAAAAGGAAAUAAGAUGAAAAGAUAAGAACGAAAACAAAUUGAUCUAGUCUUCAUCAAGAAUCCAUAGAAUCCUCAAGAUGUCAAGACUUUCAACGAUCAAAAGAAAGUAAGAUGAAAAGAUAAGAAUGAAAACAAAUUGAUCUAGUCUUCAUCAAGAAUCCAUAGAAUUCUCAAGAUAUUAAGACUUUCAUCGAUCAAAAGGAAACAAGAUGAAAAGAAGAAUAAAAUGCAUAAAAGAUAAUCAACUCACACUAUCAUUAAUAUCAUUCAUCCAUUUUGGUGGAUUAGGUCAUUUCAAACCUAUCAACACCCUAGAUCCAAUGAUAUUAAUGAAGUGGAGGAAGAAGGAAGCCAAAACAAGCACAAAAAAGGCAAAAAACCACAUUAUGCCUGCUGGAAAUCGAUUUCAUGCAGGGGGAAAUCGAUUUCCAUAGUGCAGUUUUCAAAAAAAACAAGUUACGUUCAGCAGGAAAUCGAUUUCAGCCUUAGUGAAAUCGAUUUCCCCAGUGCAAAUUUCAGCAAAAACAGCAUUUAAAGACAUGGAACUUGACUUGAACAAAUAUACAAACACCUUAUGAUCACACAUCAAUUAGAGCACGAAUUUUCCAUCAAAUCACCAACAAAUAGCACCAAUAUAGCAUCAAAGAUGCAUUGAACACAAACAACAAAGAAUCACAUUGUGAUAUACAAAAAAGGAUGAAGAAAAUUACCAAAUCUUGAACAAAACUUAGAUCUACAUCAAGAAUCACCAAGACAAAUCUUGAUCUCUCAACAAUUGAAGAAAAAAGAGUGAAAUAGAUGGUGGUUUAGCUCAAAGUUUGUGAGGUUCAAGGUGUGACUCACAAACUUUAUGAAAGAACAAAGAGCUUUGGUGAAUUUGGUAGGGAUGAGGAGAGAAAUUGCAAGGGGUUUUUUGGCUCUCAAAGCUUGAGAAAUGAGAGAGUAGUGGGCUCUAUUUAUAGGAUGAGAGCAAGAGUAGUGGUAGUUUGUUCUUUUUGCAUUUGGUAAUUAGCUUGUGUUUAAUUGGUGAUUAAAGUGGCAAUUAAAUGGUAAAAAGUGGUAAAAUGGGGUUUAAGUGGGUUUAAUGAAGGGAUUAAUUUUGAUGAGGUGGAAAAUUGGUAAAAUGAUCAAAUAAAAAGGUGCCAAAAUGAUGUCAAGCUUCCUUCCUUAUACUUUUUGAAUUUCGCCUUAAGGAAAUCGAUUUCCCCAAGAGUGAAAUCGAUUUCACUCUGUUCCAGAAGAGAAUUUGGCGCAAAAUACACUAGGGAAAUCGAUUUACCCAGGAGGGAAAUCGAUUUCAUGCUGUCCAGAAUGUGAUUUUGUUGAAGAUUGCUGCAGGGAAAUCGAUUUACCCAGUAGGGAAAUCGAUUUCAUCAGUCAAAAAUGUGAAAAAUGCCUUGUUUAUUGCAUGUCUUGGCUUGGUACCUACAAAACAAAAGCCUACAAAGAAAUAAAGCAAUGUUUUUGGUAUUUGGGUUAGUAUAAUAUGCAUACAAGAUAAACAAUCAUUGGUACUUGAUGGUCCCUCUUAUUGAUGAGGUGAGUGCAACACCAUAAACAAAACUUCCAAGUGAAGCUCUUGAUUAGUGAUUGGGAUAUGAAUGAUAUAGGAUCUUAGGGUCAAAAAUUGGGGUAUGACAGAUGCCCCUAUUUAAGUUUCUUCGAUUUGGAGAUACGAUGAUUGGAAAUCUUCGUUUUGACAAAAUCGAAGAGACUUAAAUAUAUAAAACACAAUUUUUGAUCCUAAGAUGCAAUGCAAUGUUUAAUGAAUGCAUAUGAUGAUAAUAAAGCAUGACAACACUGGGGAGUAAAAGGUACUCCACUGGGGAAAAUAAAUGUCUUGCUGGCAAAUCUCCGCUGGGGAAGGCAAGACUUUGUUGGAGAGAUGAAACUUUGGUAGGGAAAGAAAUUUCUCUGGGGAAAACACUUCGCGUCAGAGAGGUUAUAGAAUCCUCUUUCACUGGGGAUGAGAAAAGGGGAACAUCCUCUUUCACUGGGGAUGAGAAAGUAUGCAUCCUGAAUCAGAAUGCCAACCUUCCGUCAACAGAAAACACACCAUCGUACCACUGAUGAUAUGAAGAGAUGUACCGCCGUACCACUGACGAUAAGAUUUUGAUUCGUGGACCAUCCUCUUACUCAAUAGUUGAAGGUAGAAGAAAAUCGAAUCACCGUCUCAAUAGUUGACGAUAAGCUACCAACUCAAUGGUUGAAGGUAGAAGAAGAUCGAAUUACCGCCUCAAUGGUUGACGAUAAGCUACCAACUCAAUAGUUGAAGGUAGAAGAAAAUUGAAUUACCGCCUCAAUGGUUGACGAUAAGCUGCUGAGAACAAUGAGUUGCCGCUGAGAAUAGGGAUCAACUUCUUCUUUAAUCAAGGACAUGGCUUGAGAAAAGGAACUGGAUGCAAACUGUCACUUACACUAAAGCGACUUACCAUUUGCUGACUUUGCUGAGGAAUCUUUAAGCAAAACGAACUGUCUUCGUGAAGAAGGCUGCCAUUCGUUAUCUCAAAGGGAACAAACUGUCUUCUGCUGAAAGAGACUGCCAUUUGCCGACCCUGUCGAGAAAUCCUUAAGCGGAACGAACUGUCUUCUGCUGAAAGAGACUGCCAUUCGUUGACCCGUCUUAGGAAAAAGUGAGCAAACUGUCUUCUAAUGGAGGAGACCGCCAUUUGCUGACUUUAAAAUAAGAAUUCUUAAACGAACUGUCUUCAUGAAGAAGAUUGCCAUCCGUUAUCUCAAAGGGAACAAACUGUCUUCUGCUGAAAGAGACUGCCAUUUGCCGACCCUGUCGAGAAAUCCUUAAGCGGAACGAACUGUCUUCUGCUGAAAGAGACUGCCAUUCGUUGACCCAUCUUAGGAAAAAGUGAGCAAACUGUCUUCUACUGGAGGAGACUGCCAUUUGCUGACUUUAAAAUAAGAAUUCUUAAACGAACUGUCUUCAUGAAGAAGACUGCCAUCCGUUAUCUCAAAGGGAACAAACUGUCUUCUGCUGAAAGAGACUGCCAUUUGCCGACCUUGUCGAGAAAUCCUUAAGCGGAACGAACUGUCUUCUGCUGAAAGAGACUGCCAUUCGUUGACCCAUCUUAGGAAAAAGUGAGCAAACUGUCUUCUAAUGGAGGAGACUGCCAUAUGCUGAUUUUAAAAUAAGAAUUCUUAAACGAACUGUCUUCAUGAAGAAGACUGCCAUCCGUUAUCUCAAAGGGAACAAACUGUCUUCUGCUGAAAGAGACUGCCAUUCGUUGACCCAUCUUAGGAAAAAGUGAGCAAACUGUCUUCUAAUGGAGGAGACUGCCAUUUGCUGACUUUAAAAUAAGAAUUCUUAAACGAACUGUCUUCAUGAAGAAGACUGCCAUCCGUUAUCUCAAAGGGAACAAACUGUCUUCCGCUGAAAGAGACUGCCAUUUGCCGACCCUGUCGAGAAAUCCUUAAGCGGAACGAACUGUCUUCUGCUGAAAGAGACUGCCAUUCGUUGAGCUUCUUCCAUUUGGAAUCAAGAAGUUCAUAAAGUAUGAGAGAUUAUCACUUGAUUUGAAGAUAAGAUUGAUAUGUGGAGACGCACAAACUUGCUCAAAUAAAGAGGCUUCAAUUUGUUGUCAACCAAAACAUGAUGGGGAUAACACAAGUUGCUCAAAGUCAAAACCUGCCCCUUGCUUUCAAGCACAAAUUCCAAGGGAGUGCAAUAACAUCACUGCUGGAAAAUAAAUCUUUCAAUAUCUGAUAAGAACAUCAAUCACAAACAAGUUCUCCAUUAUAGAGGAAAGCAUAAUCCUCAAGAGGUGCAAAAUAAAUGCCUUCUCAAUCUAGGUUUCCCAGCCUAGAGAGGUUCAAAAUAGUAUUGCAAGAGACCAAAGUUCAACUCCAAGAACAAGCUGGAUAGAAACGGUCAAACAAAGCUUUGCCCCUUGAGGAAUAAACUCAAAUGGGGAUUAAUUCCAUCCUGACAAAUGAGCUGAAGAGGAACACUGAAGAAAAAUUCUUCCACGAAGAACAAACUCAGUGGGGAUUAUCAAUUUCUGCGAGGAAUUUACAGAUAAUCUUCUUCUUAUCAAAAAGGUUGGACAACACAUCAAGCUCUAUUAGGGGGAAUCAGAGAAAAUUUCUUUGGAGAAAAUCUCCAUUCUGAACUUGCAGAGGAAAUAAGAAGUUAACAUCAAAGCAAACAAGUUACCAUGCAGGGGAUUUUAGUUCAAAACUCAACACAAGGUGAGAAAGAAAACCCAACAGUCAACCGUUGUCUCAAAACUUCUUGGUAGAGAGUGACAUACUCUGGACUAAUCAGGGCAACAACCUUUGUACUUCAAGCUAAUGAGGUGAUCAAGGUAACUUCUGAUUCACAACUUGCCCCAGACUACAUAGUCUAUGAAAGGAAACUACCUCAAAAAGGUUCAUAGAGAUCCUUGGCAUCAUGAAGACUUGGAAUAAUCUGCCCCAGAUCAACAGAUUCUUGGAGAGAUUUGUCAAAUCUCGACGUAGCUGCCCAGAUUGACUAAACUUGGCACAUUCUUUUACUCGACAAAGUCUUCGAGAUUUUCCCCAUGAUGGUAAUCAAACUUGCAAAAGCAUUAUACUGGGAAAACAACAUGCCCCUGGCAAUGUUUUAGUUUUCUACUGAUGAUCAGAUGUAAACUUCCUGGAUGUCAAACAAAUGUUUAUAAGCAGAAAAAUGUUUAUUCUGAGAAUGAUAAUGAAAAUGCAACAAUUAUGUAAGUCUUGAAGUUUUAUUGAAAAGAUGUCACAAAACCUUGUGAAUGAAUCACUGGUUAAGGAAUGACAUUGAUUUUUGUAUGCAUAUAAUACCAACACAAGUUUUCAGCAUAACCGAUAGGAGUCAGGAACACUUUCUUGUUUAAGUAUGCUUUCGAAAUAAACCCUGCUUCAAUUAGGACUUUUGAGGGUUGUAACGUGGCCUGGUUCAUGGUUUUCAGAAAAAAAGAUUUUUAGGCUCAAAGUUUAUUUAGCCCACCCCAUCUUCGUGAUGUUCUCCAGUCCUAUGUUCAGUUAACUCAACAUGAGUAUUCGUCUCUCAAAAGGAUUUUGUACCGUUAAGGACCUAAUGAAGCUUUCUUGGAGUAGCAGUCACCCUUUUGUCUUCGUUUUUGUAUUCACACAUAUUUGUUCAUUUUUGAGGACUUUUGCUUUAUAGUCCUUUCUUUUUCACUUUUCACUCUUUUCUCUUUUUUUUUUAAUUUAUUUAUUUCCCUAACUUUUUCCUGGACUGAUUCUUUUGAAUUGGUCGUCCAGCGGGAUGCUCUAACUUUUGCCUAAGUCACUUGUUUUCAAGUUUUUGACUUAGCGAGCUUUUUUCUUCUUUCUUUUUUCUUUCUUUUUUAUUCUUUUUUUUUAUUUGAACAAAUCGUGUGACAUUUGACUUUGUCUUGACUUCUUGAGAGGGUUGUGACUGCUUUACUUCUUGGCGGAUGAAGGAUAACAAUUGUGGUUUCACAUUUUCCAGCCUUUUCAUGUGCGGGGAAUAACCAUUGUGGUUUUCCAUGAUCCAACCAUUGAUGUGGAUAUGACAUGCUUGACCUUUGGAUGCACAAUCAUUUUUGAAAUAUGAACACUCGGUCAAAUUAACUGAACACUACCCUGCCCCAGGUUAAAAAUUAGGGUUUUUUGUUUAGAAAAGAAAACUCCUACUUCAAGGCUCAAAGGGGUUAACAAGGGAUUAUCUUCCUUAUAUCUCCGGUGUUUGGGAAUUUGAAACAAUGCCUGUACAUCAUCAGCAGGGUCUUAUUCAAAAGCAUACAACCAGAAAUUUUGCGUUUUCAGAUCAUCAUCCUCCUUCCAAUCUUUGCAUAAGCAAGAGUUUGGCAAAAGUAAUUGGUAUCAUAAUGCAUAAAAACAAAUAAACAUGAGUGAAACGAAUGGAUUACUUCAAGACAAACAUUAUCAUUGCAUUAGCAUUAACAUUCAAAAAUAAACAAGUUUCUAUAUGCAAACAAUGCAUUGAAAAACAAGAAAUAUUACGAAUGAAAACCAGUAAGAAUUCUAAAAACUGAGAAAACUCUCUCCAUCUGGGCAUAUGCUGAACGAAACAUCUUUCGAACUUCAGGAUACCAUCAAUAGUGAUUCAAUCAUGCUUUGGCAAAGAAUUGGCUUGAACAUCAUAACCAACAUCUUGGAAAGUCAAAAUACCAGCAUGGAUUAAUCUUUGAACUUCAUUUUUUAGAGGCCAGCAAUCCUCUAAGCCAUGUCCAGGAGCAUUCUGAUGAAAAGCACAAGUAGCGUCAGCUUUGUACCACCAAGGGAGUUUCUCAGGCAUAGGAGGCGGUGACCUUAUCUGAACCAAUUUCUUACAAAUCAAAGCAGGGUACAAUUAUGUGUAAGUCAUGGGGAUGGGAUCAAAAUUCCACUUUUUGAGAUUAAUUUUGCUCGUUCGGUGGAAGAGCUUGUUGACGAGUACUCUACUGAUAAUCUGGAAUCGCAUGAACUGAAUUGGAUACAGGAAUGACAUAGGAAACAUGUUGAUGUUGAUGAUGAUUGUUUCCUCCCCUGAUUCUCUUCUUUGAAAAGUCAUUACCAAACUUCUGCACACUACCAGCUGAAUUACCUUCUUCAAGCAAACAUUCCUUUUGGACAUCUUUUUCUAGAAGCGUUUUCAUAUCCAUCUUUCCAUGGAAGUCAGUAGGUGUACGGACUACUAUCCCCUUAGGAAAGGAUGAGUUCAGAGUUUCAAGAAAGACCUUUGCCAUCCUUUCUUCCUUCAUAGAAGGAUUGACUUGGGCAGCAACUAAAGCCUCAACCAGAGCAGUCAGAUGCUCGAUACCAGCCUUCAGAGUAAUCACCUCUUCAUGGAGUUCGAGAAUCUCUUGUUUGAUACUUUCCAUUUCUUCUUAGCACGAGCGUUGUACUGAUGAUACCAGGAGAAAGGAAAUAAGGCUCUGGAGAAUUCUUUUAGAAAGCAGGACCAAAUGCAGAAUGAUGCAUGCAAUGCAGAUGAUUUGUUUUUUAUUAUUAUUUGAGUUUCAAGGAACUUAAGAUAUUAACUUGUAAACACUCAACAUUGGACUAAAGCUUUGAUUAAGUUAUCAUCAAAAUCAAUCAUCCAUUUUGGUGGAUUAGAGUUUUCACCCCAUCAACACCCAAGAUCCAUUGAGUUUGAUGAAACUUAUGAUGUUUACAAGGAAAGAUCUCUAAGUUCCUUGAAAAUCAAAAGAAAAAGAGUUUUCAUGGAUGCAUGAAUGCAUGGUUUAUGCAUCAACCACAAUCAAGAGCAUUCAAGGUCACAUAAGAUCAUAGUUCAAAGGUUCGACGUCACGAGCAUGGAGCCAUGGGUCUAACCAUCCCAAAAGGUAUAAUCUAGGAAAUUUUGUACCUGCCAAUCGGGUUCUACAAAGGUUCCCAGAGUUUUCAAUCUUCUAUCGGAUACUACCAGCACGCACAAUUGCUCAUGGGCGCCAAUAAUAUGCCUAAAAAGACCUCGUCUGAGCGUAGUAUCGCAUGACAACAAGCUCAAAUUGGUACUUGAUCUUGUUUCUGCACUACAUCCUAAAAAGGCUUAGAUUGGUUAAAAAGGUUCUAGGCCAUUCAGCUUCUACGGACACUCACUAUUGAAAGUAAUAGCGUUAUCACGAUGGUUCGUAACAACCUCUACUACCUUCCAUGAGGCCUCCACUGAUUGGGGUUCCACCAUAUGACGCUCAUGGUAAGGAUUGCUCCUGACAUGCGACUAUUGGUCUUACCACCUCCUAUCUCAAGUUACUCACCAAAGUUCGGGUUAGAACUUUAUCUCAUCACAGAGGAACCAUCGAGCACCAAAAAGAAAAAAAAAUAAACAAACAAAGCACACAAUAAUAUAUACAAAUACAAAACACACAGAUAAACAAAAAUAGGCUUAACACACUUAAAAACUGGAUCCCCAGUGAAGUCAACAUUUUACUGUAGCGGGGAAAAUCUGAUAUCGAAGCCAUAGGAUGACUCGAAUCAAUAUUUCAGUGAAAGUCGCCACCGCGCUUUAUUGUUUCCAAAGGAAAAGGGAAAAGAACGAAAAAAAACCCAAAGUUUGUUUUUUUUAAAACAAAAAGAAGAGAUCUUAGGUACGGGUGUUGCUUAUAUGAGGGGAAGGUUUUAAGCACCCCUCAUAUCUGUGGUACUCCACAGGAACCUUUUUGAAAAUCUGUGUGUGUGUGUGCUAAAAACGGUUUGUUUUAUUUUUAAAAUAAGCUCGGCAAAGCGUUAAGCUUUGUGCCUACAUACCUCCUCGGUGCAAUGGAGAAGUCAGAGCUAAUGUAGUUCCACUUUUGGGAAAACGUUUUUAAAAACGAAUAAACACUUUAUCGUCGUCGGAGAGAAAUACUCAGCCAUUGAUCUUGAGCAUGAGAACAAACGAGUUCCUUGCAUCGCAAAUGAAAGAAGGGCUCCAACUCGGAUAAAAUCGACGAGUAUGCCACUAGCUCUCUCACGCGGAAAAGAUCUCAUUAUAUCAAUCAAUUUCAAAAUCGUGGGGUAUAACCACUCGUUUCGACAAUUAACGGUGUCUAAACUUUUGAAGAAAAGCCACUAAGGGCGAAAGAUAUUUUUUGAGAAAAAGGUUUUGAAAAGGUUGCAAACAUAAGAAUGUUUUAGAAAAAGGGAGAAGAUUUUGAAAAUUAAAGAAGGGGAGGAGAUGAAGAGGCUAUUCUAUUGCGUAAAAUAAAAGCUAAGGAAAGAAACGGUCUAACCGAAGAAGAAGCCAACACUCGACAUUAAGAGCCAAGGUAGAUUUCCCAUCCUUUGGAAUUAUCAAUACCAACACAUUAACACUUGGGGGAUCCAGAUGAACUUAUUGUCUUAGCACAACUUUGUAUUAAGCACAUUAAAAUUCUGACAAAAAUCGGGCAGAGUAACGGCUGUUUUCGGGUAAAAUCCUUAUCUCAAUGCCUUGGAAUUAACCAUCAAGGGCUUUCAAGGAAAUACCUGCACAUACAAACAGACAACAAUCCAAUGCCAGACAGACAGAAUAACAGCAGAGUAAUAACAGAAUAAGAGUCCAGAGGUCCUAAGUCCAUAAGUCCGAGUCUCCAGAAUGCUAGGGAUAGUAACCAAUAGUCCAAAAGAGAGCCUUAUGUGUUUUUUAGAUUUUGGUUGUUUAUUAGUGUUUUAGCCUAAAAGUAAAGUAUGGUCCAAGUGGACAAAAGAAAAAUAGCGGAAGCAUAAACAUAUGUCCAAAUGGACAAAGAGAAAAUAGCGGAAUUAUAAACGUCCAAAUGGACAAAGAGAAAAUGGCGGAAUGUAAAUAUGAUGAAAUGAUUAAAUAAAGCGAAAAAGCGAGAAAUAUAAAGAGCGGUAUAAUAAAUGGCGGAAAUUAAAGUUAGUUGUUAGAUGUUAAAGAUAACCAUCUUGAAACUUGUCAAGUAUGUUAUCAAAGUUAGUAAUAAAGAUCGAUGGUGAGUGAAUGAUGUACUCGGAUUUAAGGUCAAUGGAAACUUAUCAGAAGCUUGAUAAAAUCAUAGCGACUACACGAUAAAUUUCCAUAAGUCAUAAAUCAACCGCAUACAAUUCUCUUCCAUAUUUGAUCUUUUAUCGAGUCGGGACAAAUGUAGGAGAAUUCUCCAUGUAUCAAGAUCAUCAAUCAAAAGAAAUAAGAAGGAGAAGAAGAAAUGAUCUAGCCUUUAUCAAGAAUCCAUAGAACUCUCAAGAUAUCAAGACUUUCACCGAUCAAGAGAAAAUAAGAUGAAAAAAGAUAAGAAUGAAAACAAAUUGAUCUAGUCUUUAUCAAGAAUCCAUAGAAUUCUCAAGAUAUUAAGACUUUCAUCGAUCAAAAGGAAAUAAGAUGAAAAGAUAAGAACGAAAACAAAUUGAUCUAGUC